This 470-nucleotide ribosomal RNA is filed under the name uncultured soil bacterium. RNAcentral describes it as "bacterial SSU rRNA". It matches the Rfam family "Bacterial small subunit ribosomal RNA", at positions 26 to 509 of the family's 1533-position model. The record is from RNAcentral.
AGAUUGAACGCUGGCGGCAUGCCUUACACAUGCAAGUCGAACGGUAACAGGUUAAGCUGACGAGUGGCGAACGGGUGAGUAAUAUAUCGGAACGUGCCCAGUCGUGGGGGAUAACUGCUCGAAAGAGCAGCUAAUACCGCAUACGACCUGAGGGUGAAAGCGGGGGAUCGCAAGACCUCGCGCGAUUGGAGCGGCCGAUAUCAGAUUAGGUAGUUGGUGGGGUAAAGCCCACCAAGCCAACGAUCUGUAGCUGGUCUGAGAGGACGACCAGCCACACUGGGACUGAGACACGGCCCAGACUCCUACGGGAGGCAGCAGUGGGGAAUUUGGACAAUGGGCGCAAGCCUGAUCCAGCCAUCGCGCGUGCGGGAGAAGGCUCGGUUGUAACCGCUUUGUCGAGGAGAAAGUUCGUGUUAAUACCUGGACUCGAUGACGGUACCUGAAGAAUAAGACACCGCUAACUACGUGAC